CGGCGGACGGGUGAGUAACGCGUGGGUAACCUGCCUCAUACAGGGGGAUAACAGUUGGAAACGGCUGCUAAUACCGCAUAAGCGCACAGUACCGCAUGGUACGGUGUGAAAAACUCCGGUGGUAUGAGAUGGACCCGCGUCUGAUUAGGUAGUUGGUGGGGUAACGGCCUACCAAGCCGACGAUCAGUAGCCGACCUGAGAGGGUGACCGCCACAUUGGGACUGAGACACGGCCCAA
RNAcentral lists this ribosomal RNA (237 nucleotides) under uncultured bacterium. RNAcentral's name for it is "partial 16S ribosomal RNA". It matches the Rfam family "Bacterial small subunit ribosomal RNA", at positions 96 to 334 of the family's 1533-position model. The record is from RNAcentral.